This 208-nucleotide ribosomal RNA is filed under the name Blautia sp. An81. Its description in RNAcentral is "partial 16S ribosomal RNA". It matches the Rfam family "Bacterial small subunit ribosomal RNA", at positions 1 to 187 of the family's 1533-position model. The record is from RNAcentral. Lineage: Bacteria; Bacillati; Bacillota; Clostridia; Lachnospirales; Lachnospiraceae.
UUUAUCAGAGAGUUUGAUCCUGGCUCAGGAUGAACGCUGGCGGCGUGCCUAACACAUGCAAGUCGAGCGAAGCGCCUGCUUUUGAUUCUUUCGGGAUGAAGAAGCUUGCGACUGAGCGGCGGACGGGUGAGUAACACGUAGGCAACCUGCCUCACACAGGGGGAUAACAGUUAGAAAUGACUGCUAAUACCGCAUAAGCGCACAGGGC